UACGUAGGGAGCAAGCGUUGUCCGGAAUUACUGGGCGUAAAGGGCGCGUAGGCGGGGUUAUAAGUUAGGUGUGAAAACGUAGGGCUUAACUUUACGAUUGCACUUAAAACUGUAAUUCUUGAGUACAGGAGAGGAAAGUGGAAUUCCUAGUGUAGCGGUGAAAUGCGUAGAUAUUAGGAGGAACACCAGUGGCGAAGGCGACUUUCUGGACUGUAACUGACGCUGAGGCGCGAAAGCGUGGGGAGUGAACGGGAUUAGAUACCCGGUAGUCC
RNAcentral lists this ribosomal RNA (272 nucleotides) under uncultured prokaryote. RNAcentral's name for it is "partial 16S ribosomal RNA". It matches the Rfam family "Bacterial small subunit ribosomal RNA", at positions 524 to 796 of the family's 1533-position model. The record is from RNAcentral.